GAAAGGGAAAGCUUCUUGCAGCUUGAAAGGGUCGUUUUAUUUUAUCUUCCCUACGAGCCAUUUGGGUACGGAAAGGAAAUUCCUAGAAGCUAGAAAGGGUCGUUUUCUCGUUUCUUCUUCACUCUUCUUCUCUAACGCAGCACAACGAACGAGAGGCUGCUGCAUCAGCCCCAUUACUUGGGCUCUGCUCAUCAGAACCAAAAUUUUUGGUAUAAGUAUUUGAAUUUGGAAGACAUGGAUAACAUACAAGAUAUCACACAAGGGAUACAGGAAAUGAAAUUUGAAGUGAUCGCACGCUCUUUUCCUGAGGAAAUCAUACAACAUAUCCUAAUUAGGCUACCUGUUAAAUUUCUGAUCAAAUGCACUUCAGUUUGCAAGACAUGGAGGUCCAUGAUCAUAAACCAAAGCUUUAUCCGCGCCCACCUCAGCACAACAGUGGACUUUGCUAACCAGAAUGAUGUUGACCUCCUCCUACUCCACAGAAUUUCUGGUAGCAGCAGCCGCAACAACUACCAAAACACGUUCAUUCACAAGGUAGAAGACGAGGUUCACUCUGUGCAUCAUGAUAACCAGGCGUUUGAUGAGUACUCCAAGAUCGAAUUUCCAAUUGCUGCAAAGAAAAA
Molecule: non-coding RNA, 623 nt
Organism: Prunus avium (sweet cherry)
Lineage: Eukaryota; Viridiplantae; Streptophyta; Magnoliopsida; Rosales; Rosaceae
Source: RefSeq, a predicted model, not a curated record